UUCCGGUUGAUCCUGCCGGAGGCUACCGCUAUUGGAGUUCGAUUAAGCCAUGCGAGUCGCGAGUCUUAGGGACUCGGCGUACCGCUCAGUAACACGUGGGUAACCUGCCCUAUGCUGGGGGAUAACCUCGGGAAACUGAGAAUAAUACCCCAUAGUUCACCACGCCUGGAACGGUGGGUGGAUGAAAGCUCCGGCGGCAUAGGAUGGGCCUGCGGCGUAUCAGGUUGUAGGGGGUGUAAUGUACCCUCUAGCCAUCUACGCGUACGGGUGUUGGGAGACAUCGCCCGGAGAUGGAUUCUGAGACACGAAUCCAGACCCUACGGGGUGCAGCAGGCGCGAAAACUUGGCAAUGCGAGCAAUCGUGACCAGGGAACUCCAAGUGCAUCGGGUAAGACCGAUGCUUUUCUUGACUCUUCAAAGGUCUUGGAAUAAGGGGUGGGUAAGGACGGUGCCAGCCGCCGCGGUAAUACCGGCGCCCCAAGUGGUAGUCGCUUUUAUUGGGCCUAAAACGUCCGUAGCCGGUCUGGUACAUUCGUGGGUAAAUCAACCAGCUCAACUGGUUGAAUUCUGCGAGCACGGCCAGACUUGGGACCGGGAGAGGUGUGGGGUACUCUCAGGGUAGGGGUAAAAUCCUGUCAUCCUGAGAGGACCACCUGUUGCGAAGGCGCCACACUAGAACGGAUCCGACGGUCAGGGACGAAGCCUAGGGGCACGAACCGGAUUAGAUACCCGGGUAGUCCUAGGUGUAAACGCUGUGGACUUGAUGUUGGGGGCGCUCCGAGCGCACUCAGUGUCGAAGCGAAGGUGAUAAGUCCACUGCCUGGGGAGUACGGUCGCAAGGCUGAAACUUAAAGGAAUUGGCGGGGGAGCACCGCAACCUGAGGAUUGUGCGGUUUAAUUGGAUUCAACGCCGGA
Molecule: ribosomal RNA, 915 nt
Filed under: uncultured marine archaeon
Lineage: Archaea
Description: bacterial SSU rRNA
Rfam family: Archaeal small subunit ribosomal RNA
Source: RNAcentral